AGGAGCCACCGAAUGCCCUGGAUGUAAGGGGACGGGAAGGAAUAAAAAGAAUGGAAAUAUAUUUGAAAGAUGGAAAUGUUUUGAGUGCCAGGGAUUUGGGCUAAAGAGUUGCCCCAGUUGCGGAAAUGAAGGGCUAACACCGGAACAAAGAGGAGAAAGAUAAAUAGAAGCUUUCCAACUAAAUUCAGAAGUAUUGUUGGGCCAACAUAAUACCCAAGCGGGAUACCCACGGGUCCUGGUUUUGAUUCACACGACUACAGUGGUCUCAUUCUUUCUU
Non-coding RNA from Lupinus albus (white lupine), 277 nucleotides. Lineage: Eukaryota; Viridiplantae; Streptophyta; Magnoliopsida; Fabales; Fabaceae. The record is from the annotation of a GenBank genome assembly.